GUUUUUUGUUUUUUGUUUUUUUUUAUUCUUUCAUAUAAUGCUAUUAUUCUCUUUUAUAUAAGUAUUCACACGACACUAUCAUUAUCUGCUAUCCCAGUAACUGAUGUGUGAAGCAGUUGGGUUAUUUUAUUUAUCAUGUUGUUAAUUUAAAUCUUGUCUGUAAUCAGUAUUUCAUAUAUAACUAGUUCUAAUUGUAACGGGGACCGUUACAGAUGUUCCCCAAACCUCCCCCAAUUAAAAAGUGAUGUCCUUGUGAAUCUAUAGGAAAAAAUCAUUUUAUUUUAUCCUUUAAUUACAUGUAGUACGUUCAAUAUGGCAUUUGUAUCAUAUACCCACAGUAUGAAUUUCAUAACCUUUCCACCACAUAUAAGGAAGUUAUAGCGAUUUCAAAAUCAUCCAAUCAGAAUUCAGCACACGUGCAUGCACGUGCUGAGCAGUAAUUCUAACCACAGCAAUUUGUAAGGAGUACCAAGACACAUCUAAAUCCCUAAUAUCAAUAGAAUUUGAUGAAAAACAAAAACGUUAUAGUUCUUUAAAUAUUGAACAUUUGAAAAACGUUGCACGCGCAUGCGCGUGUACGUUGGCAUUUUUUUGUUACACCAAAAUAUAGAUACACAUAUUGUCUACGUAUGCUGUGAAUAUCAUCUCAUUCGCUUCAUAAAUAAGAUAGUUACAGACGUUUUAGUACUAUCCAAUCAAAAUGAAGCGCACGUGCAUGCGCGUGCAAAUUGGUAAUUUUGACCAUGCAAAUCAGUUAAGGGUCUCAAUAUCUACUUAUGAUAUGAAUAUCAAGCCAUUUCAAUGAAGAACAAAAAAGUUAGACUGAUUCCAAAGUUAGAGUACAAAUUUUGUAAUGCACGUGCACGCACAUGCGUGCGCGUGUAGACAAAAUAAAUAUCAUUUUUGAUAUCUACAAAUGAUAUACUACCAUCAUAUUUAGGUUUCAUAUCGAUCCCUUUAAUAUUCUGAUUUUCCAUUUUUUGUACCAAAAUUGCAGUGCACGUGCGCGCGCGUGCAUGCACGUGAAGACAAAAUGACUAUCACUAUGCACAUCUAUAAACGCUAUACUAUCAUCCUGGAAAGUUUCAUAUCGAUCCCUUUUGUAGUUUCUGAGAACACUACCGGACAAAAAAGUACCGGAGAAAAAGAAUAAUAACUAGACACGAUCUCGUUGCGAGCAACGAGUAGGUCUUCCGUCCGAUUUGUUGAUGCACUCGGAGUUAAAAAAAAAAAAAAAAGAGAAAUGAGUCCCAAUUUAGU
This is a long non-coding RNA of Ostrea edulis (European flat oyster), 1260 nucleotides long. RefSeq lists it as uncharacterized. The transcript has 2 exons. Lineage: Eukaryota; Metazoa; Mollusca; Bivalvia; Ostreida; Ostreidae. The record is from RefSeq and is a predicted model, not a curated record.